AAGGUGUUAGCACCCAAAGUGUCCUAGGUACUCCUAGGGAGCCCUUUUUGUGUGCAUGUGUAUUUGGUAUAAAGUGAUGUUUACAAACAAAUAGAAUGGGGGGAUGAGAAAAGAAUUCAUUAAUUAUAUUUUUGUGUUUGACAAGACCUUCGGUCUUGUGCCUACGUACCAACAUAGAAAUGAGGGAUCAAAACCUCGUAGUUCGUGAUACAAAUUUCAAAGGGGAUGCAUUGUUUUUAACAAAAACUAAGUUUGAAAGGCACAAAGGCCUAAAAAAGUU
Molecule: long non-coding RNA, 280 nt
Filed under: Lathyrus oleraceus (garden pea)
Lineage: Eukaryota; Viridiplantae; Streptophyta; Magnoliopsida; Fabales; Fabaceae
Description: Pisum sativum (pea) long non-coding RNA (PSAT_LNC035745)
Source: RNAcentral